RNAcentral lists this ribosomal RNA (866 nucleotides) under human gut metagenome. Its description in RNAcentral is "bacterial SSU rRNA". It matches the Rfam family "Bacterial small subunit ribosomal RNA", at positions 660 to 1520 of the family's 1533-position model. The record is from RNAcentral.
GCCUGAGCUUGUCGGUGUACGGUGGAAUGUGUAGAUCCCUUGAAGAACCCAAUGGCGAAGGCAGGUCUCUGGGCCGUUACUGACGCUGAGGAGCGAAAGCGUGGGGAGCGAACAGGAUUAGAUACCCUGGUAGUCCACGCCGUAAACGGUGGAUGCUGGAUGUGGGGCCCGUUCCACGGGUUCCGUGUCGGAGCUAACGCGUUAAGCAUCCCGCCUGGGGAGUACGGCCGCAAGGCUAAAACUCAAAGAAAUUGACGGGGGCCCGCACAAGCGGCGGAGCAUGCGGAUUAAUUCGAUGCAACGCGAAGAACCUUACCUGGGCUUGACAUGUUCCCGACGGUCGUAGAGAUACGGCUUCCCUUCGGGGCGGGUUCACAGGUGGUGCAUGGUCGUCGUCAGCUCGUGUCGUGAGAUGUUGGGUUAAGUCCCGCAACGAGCGCAACCCUCGCCCCGUGUUGCCAGCGGAUUAUGCCGGGAACUCACGGGGGACCGCCGGGGUUAACUCGGAGGAAGGUGGGGAUGACGUCAGAUCAUCAUGCCCCUUACGUCCAGGGCUUCACGCAUGCUACAAUGGCCGGUACAACGGGAUGCGACGCGGCGACGCGGAGCGGAUCCCUGAAAACCGGUCUCAGUUCGGAUCGCAGUCUGCAACUCGACUGCGUGAAGGCGGAGUCGCUAGUAAUCGCGAAUCAGCAACGUCGCGGUGAAUGCGUUCCCGGGCCUUGUACACACCGCCCGUCAAGUCAUGAAAGUGGGCAGCACCCGAAGCCGGUGGCCUAACCCCCUUGUGGGAUGGAGCUGUCUAAGGUGAGGCUCGUGAUUGGGACUAAGUCGUAACAAGGUAGGCGUACCGGAAGGUGCGGCUG